This 464-nucleotide ribosomal RNA is filed under the name uncultured bacterium. RNAcentral describes it as "bacterial SSU rRNA". It matches the Rfam family "Bacterial small subunit ribosomal RNA", at positions 338 to 795 of the family's 1533-position model. The record is from RNAcentral.
CCUACGGGGGGCAGCAGUGGGGAAUAUUGCACAAUGGGCGCAAGCCUGAUGCAGCCAUGCCGCGUGUAUGAAGAAGGCCUUCGGGUUGUAAAGUACUUUCAGCGGGAGGAAGGCGAUAAGGUUAAUAACCUUGUCGAUUGACGUUACCCGCAGAAGAAGCACCGGCUAACUCCGUGCCAGCAGCCGCGAUAAUACGGUGGGUGCAAGCGUUAAUCGGAAUUACUGGGCGUAAAGCGCACGCAGGCGGUCUGUCAAGUCGGAUGUGAAAUCCCCGGGCUCAACCUGGGAACUGCAUUCGGAACUGGCAGGCUGGAGUCUUGUAGAGGGGGGUAGAAUCCCAGGUGUAGCGGUGAAAUGCGUAGAGAUCUGGAGGAAUACCGGUGGCGAAGGCGGCCCCCUGGACAAAGACUGACGCUCAGGUGCGAAAGCGUGGGGAGCAAACAGGAUUAGAUACCCUGGUAGUC